GGGAAACCUGGGGCUUUGGUGGGAGGGGACGGAGAGACAAUUCUACGGGGCUGUUUGUUAGUGAGUCCCUUAGCAGUUGGGGUUCCCGAAGGUUUGUGGGUUGACCCGGGGUUGCAGUACGUGCCCAUGUGUGCCUUCGCCUCUCCCAAGGGCCCAUCUCUUCCUGGUAGUGCCCUUGUGUACUUAUCCGGGACGUCGUGUUUCUUUCUUGGGACUGUUGUCUGGGUCUGCACGUAGGGCCUGUCCUUGCCAGCGAUCAGACCUUCCGACCCCACCAGGGUCAGAGCUGCCUGGGCCUGAGGGGGCCCUGCCCUGAGGAGGACGCCGAGGCUUUGAGCAGGCCCCCGACAGCUGCUCGCGGGAGCCGCCUCCCGACACCCGAGCCCCGCCGGCGCCUCGCGCUCCCGGCUCUUGGCUCCCUCCGCCUCCCCCUCCCCGC
Molecule: long non-coding RNA, 439 nt
Organism: Bos taurus (domestic cattle)
Lineage: Eukaryota; Metazoa; Chordata; Mammalia; Artiodactyla; Bovidae
Source: Ensembl